AAAAAAUGUGGGCUCAAAAUCUGUUUUUACAGGAUAUCCACUAAGUGGAUUCAUGGCUCAUCAUUCACAUUUACCACUGUCUCCUGGAGGGAUGCUCUUUAACAAGCUCACCGGAUGGUGCGGCUAAUUUGUCUUGUGCUCUACGACUGUGAUAGUGCUCUACGACUGUGAUAACCUUGGUAGCUCCUGCUGGACCCUUCCUGUUUCUCAUCAUCCUUUUUGGACUGAGAGAUCCCACAAUAGAUAAUCUCUGUUGAUGGACGACCCCCAAAAUACACAGGCAGCUGUCAGGAAGCCAGCAUCAAAAGAAAACCAAAAGCAAAAUAAGACUUGAGAAGUAGGCAGAGGGAACAGCGUUCCACACUGCUGAAAAUAAUCUGACAAGGAGAGCCCGAUUAGUGUGCUGUGGUUAGGUCAUCCACCUUGGGGGACUACUUGGUUUCAGCCUCUUGCUUC
Molecule: long non-coding RNA, 456 nt
Organism: Grus americana (Whooping crane)
Lineage: Eukaryota; Metazoa; Chordata; Aves; Gruiformes; Gruidae
Exons: 3
Source: RefSeq, a predicted model, not a curated record